Molecule: ribosomal RNA, 385 nt
Filed under: uncultured bacterium
Lineage: Bacteria
Description: bacterial SSU rRNA
Rfam family: Bacterial small subunit ribosomal RNA
Source: RNAcentral
AUUGAACGCUGGCGGCAUGCCUUACACAUGCAAGUCGAACGGCAGCGGGCCUUCGGGUGCCGGCGAGUGGCGAACGGGUGAGUAAUGCAUCGGAACUUGCCAUUGAGUGGGGGAUAACGUAGCGAAAGUUACGCUAAUACCGCAUAUUCUGUGAGCAGGAAAGCAGGGGACCGCAAGGCCUUGCGCUCUUUGAGCGGCCGAUGUCAGAUUAGCUAGUUGGUGAGGUAAAGGCUUACCAAGGCGACGAUCUGUAGCGGGUCUGAGAGGAUGAUCCGCCACACUGGAACUGAGACACGGUCCAGACUCCUACGGGAGGCAGCAGUGGGGAAUUUUGGACAAUGGGCGCAAGCCUGAUCCAGCCAUGCCGCGUGAGUGAAGAAGGCCU